GACAGAGGUGCCGAGCGUUAGGCGGAAUCACUGGGCUUAAAGCGUGUGUAGGCGGACUUCUAAGUCCCUUGUGAAAUCCCACGGCUUACCCGUGGAACUGCUGGGUAUACUGGUUGUCUUGAGCCACUUAGGGGCUACCGGAACAAAUGGUGGAGCGGUGAAAUGCGUAGAUAUCAUUUGGAACGCCAAUGGUGAAAACAGGUAGCUGGGAGUGUGCUGACGCUGAGACACGAAAGCCAGGGGAGCGAACGGG
This 253-nucleotide ribosomal RNA is filed under the name uncultured bacterium. RNAcentral describes it as "partial 16S ribosomal RNA". It matches the Rfam family "Bacterial small subunit ribosomal RNA", at positions 524 to 776 of the family's 1533-position model. The record is from RNAcentral.